This 101-nucleotide transfer RNA is filed under the name Phycisphaerales bacterium. RNAcentral describes it as "tRNA-Ser". The record is from RNAcentral. Lineage: Bacteria; Pseudomonadati; Planctomycetota; Phycisphaerae; Phycisphaerales.
GCGGAUUUGUGCUAGUCGUACUGUCAAACCACUGAACGGUUUCAUUUUUCGUCAGCUUCCCAAGCUGAAUGUCGGGGGUUCGAUUCCCCCCGCCCGCUCCA